AGCAGUUAUCUGAUCCCACGGCCCUUAAACUUUUCUUUUUUUAAUCCUGGAACAUUUUGUUCAACAGAAUCUUACUCUGUUAAAAGGCAAAACGAAGGCGGAGCUGUCCUAACCACGGCGGGGGGAGGCCAGAGGCCCAGCGCCGCCCAGCAACACCUCCGAACCCGCCACCCCAGGAACGACACGCGGAGCAGCGACCCGGCCUCACCAUCCUGUUCCGGCUGCAUUGUGUCCUUCGAGAGGACAGCACCCAGUGCCUUUGAAGGACGGGGUGCAGAGGCAGGCGGCGGGUUAGGAGGUUUUGCAAGAACUCAGGCAAGAGACGCUGGAAUUAUAAAGCAGUGGAAACAAGAUCUAAGUCGGAGCAUUUUCAGCCUGUACCAACACGGAGUUCCUCUCAAAGCGGGUGGAUCCACAAUGGAAGGCUUUCUCUCCUCUCUAGAAGCUAACAACAGGAAUCCAUCAGAUGGUAGGAAAAUCCUGUCAAAGGAUCUUACAUCCCAAGACCUAUGAGUGGAGUCAAAAAGGAAAAAAAGUAGUCCCUGCAUAUAAAUACAGAUUCAGCUUGAAGGUCACACACCUAAGGGGCCUCGUGCAAUAAAUAUCCAAGGGAAAAAUUCAAGAGAGAAGACAGAAAGACAAAAGAUGGGAAGAAAGCAAAAGGGAGGAAAGAAGUGUUCUUGAAACAGCCAUCCUCUAGUCCUUUCCGGCAACGAGGGCGCACAAAGGUGCUUGGAUGAACGCAUCCGGGCUCAGAGAGCUUUCUCAAGAAGCCGUGGAGGGUUUCCUCUGACGCCGCACCAAAAAUACACAGGAGCCGCCCCUAAGUGUUCCACUCCACGUGCAGCCUGUGCUUCCAAGCCAGGUACGUCCCAGUGGAUUCAAUGGGUACGGGAAAAACCGGUCUGGAAACACGUCUACAACCAUCACUACGACCUGCAAGCGUGGACCAGCAGCCUAUCGAUGGAGAUGCCACCUCCAGGAAGCCGACUCUCUGCAAAAUUACAGCUAAAUGAUAACUAUCAAAGGGGAACAGCGGGCCUUGAUUAUACACCGUAAAUUCGAAUGAAACUCACGGCUAUGUAAUAAACCACUUCUUUACUUUGUGUAACUCA
Long non-coding RNA from Canis lupus familiaris (dog), 1115 nucleotides. RefSeq lists it as uncharacterized. The record is from RefSeq and is a predicted model, not a curated record. NCBI's taxonomy places the organism in Eukaryota, Metazoa, Chordata, Mammalia, Carnivora, Canidae. The transcript is spliced from 5 exons.